UCCCCUCUUGCACAAUCUAGCCUCUUGUCUCUGAAAAGGAUGGAGCCUCGGAGCACAUUUCGCACCGCCCUCUUCGUCUGCAUUGUGGGGGGCGUCCUGUCAAGCGAGCAGAUAUCACCUGACCCAGGGGCAGAAAUCAAGUACUACAAGGUUGGAUCCAGUACGUGCCUCCAGUGCCCAGAAGGCUUUUACUCGGAUAGUCGUUGCUCCAAGGAUGUGAAGGAAUGCAAGCCGUGUGAAAAAGAAUAUUACUGGACCACAAAGCAAGAUCGGCCGAUCUGCAACCGCUGUACACUCCCCUGUAAUGGUAACCUAGUUGAAGUGAAUGACUGCACAAAGAAACAAAACCGGGUGUGCCAGUGCAAGCCAGGAAUGUACUGCAAAAAUCCAACUCAGUUCUCCUGUCGAACGUGCAUUGCACACAGUCCUUGUCAGAAAGACUGGGGUGUGGAGGAGCCAGGAAAUGCUUCCUUUGACACCAAAUGUAAGCAGUGUCCAACUGGAACUUUCUCAGAUACAGUGUCUCUGACUGAAAAAUGCCAACGCUAUAAAGUGACCACAGUGAAGCCAAGCAGCACCUACCAAACUGAUUCACCAGCUAAGCAAGCUACACAUGCUAAGGAUCAGCCCCAUACUCUUGUUACCGAGCGUAUCAACCAAACUGAGUUUCCAGCCACAAGCCCUCACCCUACCCUCCAGUUGUUCCUCAGCAGUACUACACCUGGCAGUGACGUCCCAGUGAUCACUGAAACCACCACCACUCAAGUUCCACCUUUGGGAGAAGUUCACAUAAUCAGCUUUCUCGCUGUGAUGCUGCUCAUUAUCCUGCUUCUACUUAUGUUGCCACAUGUGAGGCAGAGACUUAAGAAGUUCCUGAAGGGACUAUGUGGUGUCAAGUCCUUUCCCAAGAAUGGAGGGGUGCUUGACAGUGGUCACAAUAAAAAUCACUACCACAUGCAACUACUGAAGAAGAACAACUCAAACCCUAAAAUAGAGAGAUCCUUGUACACUGAUGCUGCUACUGUGAGCUGUGAACAUGACAGACCUGAGGUCCUAUCUCCUGAAAACAGGGUGCAACAAUUUGUUGUAGAACCUAAGGGGGGAGAUAAUGUCAACAACAACAUUGGUUCCAUCUUCAUUCUGCAUCCCAGCACGGUGAUUCUUGGUUCUGUAUCUGAGUCGGGGAAGAAAGGCAAACACGAGGAACGGCAAAGGGGCAAUGUGGAGAAAAUCGAAGAGAACAGGUUGUGUAAAAAAGAGCCCUUUAUCAGUGUUCCACAACAAGAAUCCAUGCAGUACCCUAGCAAUGAAACUAUCUCAGUGGAAGACGUCAUUUGUUCCAAAAGUUGUGUGGAAGAGGUGGGAAACAAGGAGCUUCAAUAUCCUGUCCCGGCUACAGGGAAAUAAAUCAGCUGGAAGUCAGUAUGGAUCACAACGAUCUCUCUCUAUUAGUGUGACCUCUGCUGGACCACUGUUACACUGGCCAGGCUGUGAUAGGUGGGGUGUAUGGACUCCAGCAGUGCUACAUUUGUAUUUUGGAGUCAGGAGGUUCUUUGAAAUACAAGGAUGAAGCUUUAAUUAAAUCACCAAGGCAUCGUUCAUCCACUUGAAAUGAACCUGGACUCGGUUGUUAAGCACAUACAGUAAACUGGUCUUCAGUGGUAUUGAAUUGAAAGAGAACCUUAGGAACUUUUCUUAUUUUUCUAUCUGGCCUUCGUUCUUGGAUUAUGCAGACAACAGACCACAUUGUGAUGUCAGAUAUGAACUGUACUGGCUUUCUGAUUUUAAUGUGCACUUCACCGGAGUACCAGAUUUAGAAUACACUGGCAGCUUGAAGGAGAAGAACCCAAAAGAGACUCUAUCCAAGGACAGUGGCAGAUGUUUGACGAUGUGCUGAGAGAGUGGCACAAGACACAGGCUGCCCAUUAAGCUCUUAUUGUGCAGGGCAUUCUAGCCUGGCACUUUACAUUCAAAUACAAUGUCUUAGAAAUGCACAUUGUUGCUAUCAUUUCACUUUUCCAGUUACAAGUCCUUAUAGCAAAAGCAAUUCUUCUGGAUGACCUCUAACAUUGGAUCACGACAAAAGCAGACUGAAGCCUAACACAUUCCUAACACACAUUGAAUCCAACGUUAAAGCAUCUGACAGCUGGUGUAAACCUCCUGCUGUAGAAGUUGAAAACUUUCCUCACAUCCACGUUUUAUUCUGCAGAAUUCUGGGAAAAUAUGCCUUGCAGCAUAGAUAAAUGAAGCCAAAUUUCCCAGCGGAUCAAAAAUGAAGGAGACCAUGGCAAGAACCUCUUUAGUAGUAUGAGGCUUGUCCUAUGCUUUUGAGUUUUAGUCUGUCUGGUUCAGUAUCCUUCCUUUGGAGGAUUGUCUUUCAUUGGGUCUAAAUCUGAUCAUUUGUGAUCCUUAUUUUUUUCCAGGAUAGAGUCAAGAUUUCAAUGGCUAAUAUUUGUCUAGUUGUUAAAACUGAAACCUCCCUUAACUGUAGGCCUUUAAUGAAAAAGUCUUUCCUCUACACAUUUCCUUAACACCAUGUUGCACAACAUACUGUAGUGUUCAAGUUACACCAAACAAAUAUACGCUCAUUUGGUACUCUUUAGUUUCCUGCUGAAAAUCUCCCUGAGGCCACUAGAGAAACCUGAGCAGAGCCGAGGCCUCAGCAGGAUAUCAAACUUGGGAGAACAUGGCCUGAGUAUUGACUAUUAAAUGUGUUUCAGCCAAGGGGCCUCCUGUGGUUGGUGUUGAAAUUCCAUUUUAUUGUCUUUUUUUAUUUAUUUUUGAUUAUUUUGCUUAUGCCAAUAUAGUGUGUGGUUCCCCAAGAGGUGGGGCCACCUACCUUUCAUUGCAUAGGGUCCCUGUAAAGGCUAGGGAAACAAGUAAUCCUUUACAGUACGUGGUGGUGUUGGUGAGUUCUGCCUUUCUGUGUAACUUCAUGGAUUUUUGUUUUACCUUUUUUGCACUGCUUUCGACCAUUCUUUCAGAUUAUGUAUGGGAUCUUUUUUACCAUUUGAUUUCCAAUUUCCGGCAACUCCCUCUGUGCCUUUUGUGCUCCUCAGAACUCUUUU
RNA transcript from Polypterus senegalus (gray bichir), 3068 nucleotides. It is a transcript of the gene named tumor necrosis factor receptor superfamily member 8, with no coding region annotated. Lineage: Eukaryota; Metazoa; Chordata; Cladistia; Polypteriformes; Polypteridae. The record is from RefSeq and is a predicted model, not a curated record. The transcript is spliced from 11 exons.